This 43-nucleotide non-coding RNA is filed under the name Schistosoma haematobium. The record is from RNAcentral. Lineage: Eukaryota; Metazoa; Platyhelminthes; Trematoda; Strigeidida; Schistosomatidae.
AUCCUGCUGACGAGUUCCAAAUAGGACAAAACGCGCGUCAAAU